This 490-nucleotide ribosomal RNA is filed under the name uncultured bacterium. RNAcentral's name for it is "partial 16S ribosomal RNA". It matches the Rfam family "Bacterial small subunit ribosomal RNA", at positions 29 to 505 of the family's 1533-position model. The record is from RNAcentral.
AGUGAACGCUGGCGGUAGGCCUAACACAUGCAAGUCGAACGGCAGCACAGUAAGAGCUUGCUCUUACGGGUGGCGAGUGGCGGACGGGUGAGGAAUACAUCGGAAUCUACUUUUUCGUGGGGGAUAACGUAGGGAAACUUACGCUAAUACCGCAUACGACCUACGGGUGAAAGCAGGGGAUCUUCGGACCUUGCGCGAUUGAAUGAGCCGAUGUCGGAUUAGCUAGUUGGCGGGGUAAAGGCCCACCAAGGCGACGAUCCGUAGCUGGUCUGAGAGGAUGAUAGGCACAACUGAAAUGAGAAACCGGCCCAGACCCCUAGGGGGGGCAGAGGUGGGGAAUUUUGGAAAAGGGGGCGAAGCCUGACCCAGCCAUCCCGGGUGGGUGAAGAAGGCCUUGGGGUUGUAAAGCCUUUUUGUUGGGAAAAAAAAGCAGCAGGUUAAUCCCCCGCUGUUCGGACGGUACCCAAAGAAUAAGCCCCGGCUAACUUCG